This 253-nucleotide ribosomal RNA is filed under the name uncultured bacterium. Its description in RNAcentral is "partial 16S ribosomal RNA". It matches the Rfam family "Bacterial small subunit ribosomal RNA", at positions 524 to 776 of the family's 1533-position model. The record is from RNAcentral.
UACGUAAGGGGCAAGCGUUGUCCGGAAUCACUGGGCGUAAAGCGCACGUAGGCGGCUUUUUAAGUCAGGGGUGAAAUCCCGGAGCUCAACUCCGGAACUGCCUUUGAUACUGAAAAGCUUGAGUUCGGGAGAGGUGAGUGGAACUGCGAGUGUAGAGGUGAAAUUCGUAGAUAUUCGCAAGAACACCAGUGGCGAAGGCGGCUCACUGGCCCGAUACUGACGCUGAGGUGCGAAAGCGUGGGGAGCAAACAGG